This 152-nucleotide ribosomal RNA is filed under the name uncultured Photobacterium sp. Its description in RNAcentral is "partial 16S ribosomal RNA". It matches the Rfam family "Bacterial small subunit ribosomal RNA", at positions 382 to 526 of the family's 1533-position model. The record is from RNAcentral. Lineage: Bacteria; Pseudomonadati; Pseudomonadota; Gammaproteobacteria; Vibrionales; Vibrionaceae.
CCUGAUGCAGCCAUGCCGCGUGUAUGAAGAAGGCCUUCGGGUUGUAAAGUACUUUCAGUCGUGAGGAAGGGUGAGCAGUUAAUAGCUGUUUAUCUUGACGUUAGCGACAGAAGAAGCACCGGCUAACUCCGUGCCAGCAGCCGCGGUAAUAA